This 253-nucleotide ribosomal RNA is filed under the name uncultured bacterium. RNAcentral's name for it is "partial 16S ribosomal RNA". It matches the Rfam family "Bacterial small subunit ribosomal RNA", at positions 524 to 776 of the family's 1533-position model. The record is from RNAcentral.
UACGUAGGGUGCAAGCGUUGUCCGGAAUUAUUGGGCGUAAAGAGCUCGUAGGCGGUUUGUCGCGUCUGCUGUGAAAACCCGAGGCUCAACCUCGGGCCUGCAGUGGGUACGGGCAGACUAGAGUGCGGUAGGGGAGAUUGGAAUUCCUGGUGUAGCGGUGGAAUGCGCAGAUAUCAGGAAGAACACCCGUGGCGAAGGCGGCUCUCUGGAACGCAACUGACGCUGAGACGCGAAAGCGUGGGGAGCAAACAGG